RNAcentral lists this transfer RNA (87 nucleotides) under Geotalea daltonii FRC-32. RNAcentral's name for it is "tRNA-Leu (CAA) (tRNA-Leu-CAA-1-1)". It matches the Rfam family "tRNA". Rfam says of the family: Transfer RNA (tRNA) molecules are approximately 80 nucleotides in length. The record is from RNAcentral. RNAcentral also lists the same sequence under 2 other names. Lineage: Bacteria; Pseudomonadati; Thermodesulfobacteriota; Desulfuromonadia; Geobacterales; Geobacteraceae.
GCCGGAGUGGUGAAAUUGGUAGACGCACUGGACUCAAAAUCCAGCGGGAGCAAUCCCAUGCCGGUUCGACCCCGGCCUCCGGCACCA